CUACGGGCUGCUCCAGUGGGGAAUAUUGCACAAUGGGCGCAAGCCUGAUGCAGCGACGCCGCGUGAGUGAUGAAGUAUUUCGGUAUGUAAAGCUCUAUCAGCAGGGAAGAAAAUGACGGUACCUGACUAAGAAGCCCCGGCUAACUACGUGCCAGCAGCCGCGGUAAUACGUAGGGGGCAAGCGUUAUCCGGAUUUACUGGGUGUAAAGGGAGCGUAGGUGGCAAGGCAAGUCAGAAGUGAAAAACCAGAGCUCAACUUUGGGACUGCUUUUGAAACUGUCUAGCUAGAGUGCAGGAGAGGUAAGCGGAAUUCCUAGUGUAGCGGUGAAAUGCGUAGAUAUUAGGAGGAACACCAGUGGCGAGGGCGGCUUACUGGACUGUAACUGACACUGAGGCUCGAAAGCGUGGGGAGCAAACAGGAUUAGAUACCCCCGUAGUC
Molecule: ribosomal RNA, 439 nt
Filed under: uncultured bacterium
Lineage: Bacteria
Description: partial 16S ribosomal RNA
Rfam family: Bacterial small subunit ribosomal RNA
Source: RNAcentral